This 445-nucleotide ribosomal RNA is filed under the name uncultured bacterium. RNAcentral's name for it is "partial 16S ribosomal RNA". It matches the Rfam family "Bacterial small subunit ribosomal RNA", at positions 354 to 796 of the family's 1533-position model. The record is from RNAcentral.
GUGAGGAAUAUUGGUCAAUGGGCGGGAGCCUGAACCAGCCAAGUCGCGUGAAGGAAGAAGGAUCUAUGGUUCGUAAACUUCUUUUGCAGGGGAAUAAAGUGCAGGACGUGUCCUGUUUUGUAUGUACCCUGAGAAUAAGGAUCGGCUAACUCCGUGCCAGCAGCCGCGGUAAUACGGAGGAUCCGAGCGUUAUCCGGAUUUAUUGGGUUUAAAGGGUGCGUAGGUGGUUUGAUAAGUCAGCGGUGAAAGUUUGCAGCUUAACUGUAAAAAUGCCGUUGAAACUGUAGGACUUGAGUGUAAAUGAGGUAGGCGGAAUGCGUGGUGUAGCGGUGAAAUGCAUAGAUAUCACGCAGAACUCCGAUUGCGAAGGCAGCUUACUAAGCUACAACUGACACUGAAGCACGAAAGCGUGGGGAUCAAACAGGAUUAGAUACCCCUGUAGUCC